GGAAUAGGACGUGUGGUUCUAUUUUGUUGGUUUCUAGGACCGCCGUAAUGAUUAAUAGGGACAGUCGGGGGCAUCAGUAUUCAAUUGUCAGAGGUGAAAUUCUUGGAUCUAUUGAAGACUAACUACUGCGAAAGCAUUUGCCAAGGAUGUUUUCAUUGAUAAGGAACGAAAGUUAGGGGAUCGAAGACGAUCAAAUACCGUCGUAGUCUUAACUAUAAACUAUGCCGACUAGGGAUCGGACGAUGUUAUUUCUUGACGCGUUCGGCACCUUUCGAGAAAUCAAAGUGCUUGGGCUCCAGGGGGAGUAUGGUCGCAAGGCUGAAACUUAAAGAAAUUGACGGAAGGGCACCACCAGGGGUGGAACCUGCGGCUUAAUUUGACUCAACACGGGGAAACUCACCAGGUCCAGACACAGUGAGGAUUGACAGAUUGAGAGCUCUUUCUUGAUUCUGUGGGUGGUGGUGCAUGGCCGUUCUUAGUUGGUGGAGUGAUUUGUCUGCUUAAUUGCGAUAACGAACGAGACCUUAACCUGCUAAAUAGCCCGUACUGCUUUGGCAGUUCGCCGGCUUCUUAGAGGGACUAUCGGCUCAAGCCGAUGGAAGUUUGAGGCAAUAACAGGUCUGUGAUGCCCUUAGAUGUCCUGGGCCGCACGCGCGUUACACUGACAGGGCCAGCGGAGUACCUCCUUGGACCGGAAAGGUCCGGGAAUCUGACACUCCAU
RNAcentral lists this ribosomal RNA (721 nucleotides) under uncultured fungus. RNAcentral describes it as "SSU rRNA". It matches the Rfam family "Eukaryotic small subunit ribosomal RNA", at positions 819 to 1563 of the family's 1831-position model. The record is from RNAcentral. Lineage: Eukaryota; Fungi.